RNAcentral lists this long non-coding RNA (1947 nucleotides) under Malus domestica (apple). RNAcentral's name for it is "long non-coding RNA (MDOM_LNC001028)". The record is from RNAcentral. Lineage: Eukaryota; Viridiplantae; Streptophyta; Magnoliopsida; Rosales; Rosaceae.
CGGCGACGGUGGGCAUGGGGAGGGAGAUGAGGUCGGCGACGAGGGACCGGACCUUGGAGCGUAUGAGCUCCAACCGGGACUCGGAGGACUUGGCCCAGGAGAGAUCGUAGCCGUUGGAGAAGAAUUUGCCAUGCGCGGUGGUGAUUAGGGCUGAGGGUGAUGAUGACGUGGCGGUGGUGGUAACGGCGGUUCGGAUUUGGUUGAGGGCGGACCGGAUUGAGUCGAUGAGAGUGGGAUUGAGUCUGUGCUCGCCUGGGCCUGUUAGCGUUAGGAUGAAGACGUUGCCUUUCCUCUCUAAUGUGCACAUCUCUCUCUCUCUCUCUCUCUCUAGAAUUUGAAGUUUAAGCUUUGGUUAUGGAGGAUCGAAUAUUCAAGGACUUUGCCUUCUUCCCAUGGAUUGGUCAAAUUGAUGCAUCAUUUGUGACUUCAUAAUAUUAUAAAAUGUUGUCCUCUUUUGUUUUUUCUUCUGUCUUCAACGAACAUGUCACAUUCAAUCGAGAAAUACUUUCAUGCAAUUAAGGCGGCAUUUUAAAAAAUGGUUAAAACAUAUAAUAAUGUUGGAUUAACUUUAUGGAUUUGUUUUUAAUAAUGUUUGAUUAACUUAAUGAAUUUGUUAUCGACAGCCAUUUCAUCAAAUAGUUUGAUUGUUGUAAACAAUGAAGAUUUUUCAGAAUCAAUUUUUGCUUUUUAUCUUUUAGAUUUUGAUUGGUUUUGAACCAUAGAACGAAAAUUAUAACUUAGAUAAGGUGGUAUUGAAAAAGGUUGGGGUGGUGCCAUGAAGAGCUUCUUACUCACAACUCAGAUUUAAACAUACAUGUUACUUGAUAUGUACAUGAAUGAGAAUGAUAUAUAAUUAUUGUAAGGUAUGUGAUAAACUACUUAUUUGAGGUUAUUUAGGUACAGAAUAAUACGGGAAGAAUUGAAUUUUUAUUAGGAAUAAUGUUUGCAUUCCUUCAUUGGAGGAUGAGCUAGUUCUUUCUUACGAAUAACGUAUUUAGACCGUAUAAAUUUUAUAAUCGAAAUUGUUUAAUUUUUUUAAUCUUCGUUAGAAGAUUACCACUGCAAAAACUCAUUUAAAUGUAUAGAAUAGCUUUUUUGUAUAGGUUUAAAGUAAUAUCCUCGUGAUUUGAAUGAUUUUUUGUAAUUUUAACCCUUAUACGAAGAUUAAUAAAUUGAAUGGUUCUAAUAACUGAUUUUAUUCGAUCAAGAUCUUGAGAAUAUGCUAAUCCCAUCUUUUAUUGGUAACAUAAAAUGACAGACAAGUGAAAAAUCCAACCCAACAAAACUCACAUCAAUUUUCGGCCAAUCAAAACAAAAACAGACCCGACCCGAACCAAAUUAUCACCUACAGUCGUGAUUUUCUGCCAGUAGUAUUUCUGCGGAUCUCAUCCAGAACAUCAGACAACAAGUCCUUCCGAAUAUGAGCGUACACGUGUCCGUUCCACUUCCGCCGAACCAACUCCUCCCCCAAAUUAGCCGCGGCCUCGACGGUCUCCUCCGCGCUAUCGUGCGCCGAGUAGAUAAUCCCCUUCGCCACUGCCACGUCGGCUUUCACCUUAUCGGCUCUGAGCAACAAGUCGCGCCGAGCCGCCGGCGAGCCGACCUUGCUCUCGAUCAGCGCCAAGAACCAGCGUGGCAGAAGGAGCUCGAUGUCGAGCUCGCUCAUGUAGAUGAAGCCGCGGUCCCUCCUCAUGAGAAGGUAGUCGUGGCUGAGAGCGAGGAUGAAGCCGGCGGCGGAGGCGUGGCCGGAUACGGCGGCGAUGGUGGGCAUCGGGAGGGAGAUGAGAUCGGCGACAAGGGACCGGAGCUUGGCGUCCAUGAGCUCUAUGCGGGAUUCAGAGGACUGGGCCCAAGAGAGAUCGUAGCCGUUGGAGAAGAAUUUGCCAUGUGCGGUGGUGAUUAGGGCUGAGGGAGAUGAUGACGAGGCCGUGGUGGUGACGGCGGCUC